GAAGGAGAAGGUGGAAGGCCGGAAGGAUAAAGGGCCUGGGAGCUGUGCCUGCCACUUGAAGAGAGCUCCCCUCAUAAAAUAGAAUUGGCCAGAACCGAGUCACUGGGCCAGCCACGAAGCAAAGGGAUUCUGAGAAGGACAGUCCUCUGGAAGAAGCAGCAGUGUCUCACAAGGCAGUGGCGAAUCUAAGAAGUUACCAGCUCUUCUGAGACUGCUAUGGACCCUGGUCUACAGGUGUUUUCCUGUUGAUGGUCACCCUAAGAAGACAGAUCUAAGCUUAACGGGCCUAUUGAAGGGCCUGUAUUGGGAGGAAAUAGGGCUCUGCAGAGAAGCCUAGGAAGCUGGGAUCAGGUGGGGCUGA
Molecule: long non-coding RNA, 361 nt
Organism: Lutra lutra (Eurasian river otter)
Lineage: Eukaryota; Metazoa; Chordata; Mammalia; Carnivora; Mustelidae
Exons: 3
Source: RefSeq, a predicted model, not a curated record